This is a non-coding RNA of Manis javanica (Malayan pangolin), 788 nucleotides long. The record is from RefSeq and is a predicted model, not a curated record. Lineage: Eukaryota; Metazoa; Chordata; Mammalia; Pholidota; Manidae.
GGCCACCUUUGGGAAGCAGGCUUGAAGCAAGGUCAUCUGGGAAGACUGAAGGCCUAAGGUUUGGCCUCCAAGCUGCCAUGUGUACAGCAGGAAGGUGGAGUCCAAGGAGUGGUGGCGUGAGGGCGAAUCAGGACGAUUCCUUCCUGUGGGUGUAGUUCCUGACAAUGGCAAGGAAAGGAGUGAAGUAUUAUUUGGAGAGGACUCAGAACAAAUUGGAAUUGGCAAAAAAUGGAGCGAGAGUCUGUGGAAUGAUAAUGUCCAAGGUUCUCAUGAUCACCAGAAGCUACGGAGAGAGCAGACGGGGAAAAGAGAGCAAGAGAGAAACAAAACGAAAUAUUGUAUCAAAUCAGAGUGCUUUAAAAAAAAUACUUGCAGCCUAGUGAAUUUUCAGGUCUCAAUAACAAAAAGCUGGUUUCAUAAAGUUUUUUGUUUUGUUUUAUAAGUCAAACAUAGCCUCAGUUGCCAGCAGGUGUGGGGAGUGCUGGGUGUCAGCCAGGAGCUCUUUCGGAAAGCUGGCAGCCUUGCAGUAUUGCCCCCCUGGGGCUCAGCUUCUCCCCUCUCAGCCUCAGUUUUUCCGGGAGUAAACACCCAUGGGUUGAUUACUUUUCCCAGUCCCUGGAGUGUAAAAGUGUCAGAUCACCACCAGGCUGUAAUAAAGCUUUCUUCUUGGUUUCUGGUUGAUGAAAUAUUUUUCAGCUUUUGCACAGAUUAAUUUGCUGCAAUAGGACUUGAUUACAAUUCAAUAGCUUUUACCAUACAACCUCUGUCUUGAACCAGUUCUUCUGAAA